AUUGACGGGGGCCCGCACAAGCGGUGGAGCAUGUGGUUUAAUUCGAUGCAACGCGAAGAACCUUACCUGGUCUUGACAUCCACGGAAGUUUUCAGAGAUGAGAAUGUGCCUUCGGGAACCGUGAGACAGGUGCUGCAUGGCUGUCGUCAGCUCGUGUUGUGAAAUGUUGGGUUAAGUCCCGCAACGAGCGCAACCCUUAUCCU
Molecule: ribosomal RNA, 203 nt
Filed under: Salmonella enterica subsp. enterica serovar Derby
Lineage: Bacteria; Pseudomonadati; Pseudomonadota; Gammaproteobacteria; Enterobacterales; Enterobacteriaceae
Description: partial 16S ribosomal RNA
Rfam family: Bacterial small subunit ribosomal RNA
Source: RNAcentral